Molecule: ribosomal RNA, 492 nt
Filed under: uncultured bacterium
Lineage: Bacteria
Description: partial 16S ribosomal RNA
Rfam family: Bacterial small subunit ribosomal RNA
Source: RNAcentral
AGUGAACGCUGGCGGUAGGCCUAACACAUGCAAGUCGAACGGCAGCACAGUAAGAGCUUGCUCUUACGGGUGGCGAGUGGCGGACGGGUGAGGAAUACAUCGGAAUCUACUUUUUCGUGGGGGAUAACGUAGGGAAACUUACGCUAAUACCGCAUACGACCUACGGGUGAAAGCAGGGGAUCUUCUGACCUUGCGCGAUUGAAUGAGCCGAUGUCGGAUUAGCUAGUUGGCGGGGUAAAGGCCCACCAAGGCGACGAUCCGUAGCUGGUCUGAGAGGAUGAUCAGCCACACUGGAACUGAGACACGGUCGAGACUCCUACGGGAGGCAGCAGUGGGGAAUAUUGGACAAUGGGCGCAAGCCUGAUCCAGCCAUACCGCGUGGGUGAAGAAGGCCUUCGGGUUGUAAAGCCCUUUUGUUGGGAAAGAAAAGCAGCAGGUUAAUACCCCGCUGUUCUGACGGUACCCAAAGAAUAAGCACCGGCUAACUUCGUG